RNAcentral lists this ribosomal RNA (472 nucleotides) under uncultured bacterium. RNAcentral's name for it is "bacterial SSU rRNA". It matches the Rfam family "Bacterial small subunit ribosomal RNA", at positions 222 to 692 of the family's 1533-position model. The record is from RNAcentral.
AAGAGGGGUUUGCGUCUGAUUAGCUGGUUGGAGGGGUAACGGCCCACCAAGGCGACGAUCAGUAGCCGGUCUGAGAGGAUGAACGGCCACACUGGAACUGAGACACGGUCCAGACUCCUACGGGAGGCAGCAGUGGGGAAUCUUCCGCAAUGGGCGAAAGCCUGACGGAGCAACGCCGCGUGAGUGAUGACGGCCUUCGGGUUGUAAAACUCUGUGAUCCGGGACGAAGGCAGAGGCGAAGAACAACUGCAUUGACGGUACCGGAAAAGCAAGCCACGGCUAACUACGUGCCAGCAGCCGCGGUAAUACGUAGGUGGCAAGCGUUGUCCGGAAUUAUUGGGCGUAAAGCGCGCGCAGGCGGUUCCCAAGUCCCUCUUAAAAGUGCGGGGCUUAACCCCGUGAUGGGAAGGAAACUGGGAGCUGGAGUAUCGGAGAGGAAAGUGGAAUUCCUAGUGUAGCGGUGAAAUGCGUA